This 889-nucleotide ribosomal RNA is filed under the name Salmonella enterica subsp. enterica serovar Infantis. Its description in RNAcentral is "partial 23S ribosomal RNA". It matches the Rfam family "Bacterial large subunit ribosomal RNA", at positions 1 to 907 of the family's 2925-position model. Lineage: Bacteria; Pseudomonadati; Pseudomonadota; Gammaproteobacteria; Enterobacterales; Enterobacteriaceae. The record is from RNAcentral.
AAAGGUAAGCUACUAAGAGCGAAUGGUGGAUGCCUUGACUGGUAAAGGCGAUGAAGGACGUACUAGACUGCGAUAAGCUACGGGGAGCUGUCAAGAAGCUUUGAUCCGUAGAUUUCCGAAUGGGGCAACCCAAUGUAUAGAGAUAUACAUUACCUAUAUAGGAGCGAACGAGGGGAAUUGAAACAUCUUAGUACCCUCAGGAAAAGAAAUCAAUAGAGAUUGCGUCAGUAGCGGCGAGCGAAAGCGCAAGAGGGCAAACCCAGUGCUUGCACUGGGGGUUGUAGGACUGCAAUGUGCAAGAGGUGAGUUUAGCAGAACAUUCUGGAAAGUAUAGCCAUAGAGGGUGAUAGUCCCGUAUGCGAAAAACAAACCUUAGCUAGCAGUAUCCUGAGUAGGGCGGGACACGAGAAAUCCUGUCUGAAGCUGGGUCGACCACGAUCCAACCCUAAAUACUAAUACCAGAUCGAUAGUGCACAAGUACCGUGAGGGAAAGGUGAAAAGAACUGAGGUGAUCAGAGUGAAAUAGAACCUGAAACCAUUUGCUUACAAUCAUUCAGAGCCCUAUGUAGCAAUACAGGGUGAUGGACUGCCUUUUGCAUAAUGAGCCUGCGAGUUGUGGUGUCUGGCAAGGUUAAGCAAACGCGAAGCCGUAGCGAAAGCGAGUCUGAAUAGGGCGCUUAGUCAGAUGCUGCAGACCCGAAACGAAGUGAUCUAUCCAUGAGCAAGUUGAAGCUAGUGUAAGAACUAGUGGAGGACUGAACCCAUAGGCGUUGAAAAGCCCCGGGAUGACUUGUGGAUAGGGGUGAAAGGCCAAUCAAACUUCGUGAUAGCUGGUUCUCUCCGAAAUAUAUUUAGGUAUAGCGUUGUGUCGUAAUAUAAGGGGGUAGAG